This 1126-nucleotide ribosomal RNA is filed under the name Corynebacterium variabile. RNAcentral describes it as "bacterial SSU rRNA". It matches the Rfam family "Bacterial small subunit ribosomal RNA", at positions 350 to 1474 of the family's 1533-position model. The record is from RNAcentral. Lineage: Bacteria; Bacillati; Actinomycetota; Actinomycetes; Mycobacteriales; Corynebacteriaceae.
AUCGCCACCCAAUUGGGCGCAUGCAUUGAUGCAAUGCGAACGCCGCAGUAGCGAGGAUGUAGGGCUUUCUGGCUGGUAAUCUUCGUUUCAGUCAUGCGACGAAAGGUUUUCUUGUGACGGUACAUGCAAGCAAGAAAGGCAUCCGGCUACCUAACGUGACAGCAGCACGCGGUUAAUCCGUACGGGUGCGAGCCUUGUCCGGAAUUAUUGGGCGUAAAGAGCAUCGUAGGUGGUUUGUUGCGUCGUCUGUGAAAUUCCCGGGCCUUAACUCUCGGGGGUGCAGGGAGAUACGGGCAUAACUUGAGUCCGGUAGGGGGAGACUGGAAUUCCUGGUGUAGCGGUGAAAUGCGCAGAUAUCAGGAGGAACCCCGACGGCGAAGGCAGGUCUUUGUGCAGUUAUUUACGAUGAGGAGCGAAAGCAUGGGUAGCGAUCAGGAUUAGAUACCAUGGUAGUCCAUCCCGUAAUCGGUGGGCGCUAGGUGUGGGGGUCUUCCACGAUUUCUGUGCCGUAGCUAACGCAUUAAGCGCCCCGCAUGGGGAGUACGUCCGCAAGGUUAAAACUCAAAGGAAUUGACGGGGGCCCGCACAAGCGGCGGAGCAUGUGGAUUAAUUUGAUGCAUCGCGAAGAACCUUACUUGGGCUUGACAUAUGCAGGAUUGGCACAGAGAUGUGUUGUCCCUUGUGGUCUGUAUACAGGUGGUGCACGGUUGUCGUCACAUCGUGUUGUGAGAUGUUGGGUUAAGUCCCCCAACGAGAGCCACCCUUGUCUUGUGUGGCCAGCACGUUAUGGUGGGGACUCCCGAGAGCCUUCCGGGGCUAACUCGGAGGAAGGUGGGGAUGACGUCAAAUCAUCAUGCCCCUUAUGUCCAGGGCUUCACACAUGCUACAAUGGUCGGUACAGUGGGUUGCGAUUCCGUGAGGUGGAGCUAAUCCCUUAAAGCCGGUCUCAGUUCGGAUUGGAGUCUGCAACUCGACUCCAUGAAGUGGGAGUCGUUAGUAAUCGCAGAUCAGCAAUUCCGCGGUGAAUCCGUUCCCGGGCCUAGUUCACCCCGCCCGUCUGUCACGAAAGCGGUAACACCCCAAGCCAGCGGCCCAAACUCGUAGGGAGCGUCGUAGUGACCGAUGC